AACGAACGCUGGCGGCAGGCCUAACACAUGCAAGUCGAGCGAGAUCUUCGGGUCUAGCGGCGGACGGGUGAGUAACGCGUGGGCAUAUGCCUCUUGGUACGGAAUAGCCUCGGGAAACUGGGAGUAAUACCGUAUGUGCCCUUUGGGGGAAAGAUUUAUCGCCAAGAGAUUAGCCCGCGUUGGAUUAGGUAGUUGGUGGGGUAAUGGCCUACCAAGCCGACGAUCCAUAGCUGGUUUGAGAGGAUGAUCAGCCACACUGGGACUGAGACACGGCCCAGACUCCUACGGGAGGCAGCAGUGGGGAAUCUUAGACAAUGGGGGCAACCCUGAUCUAGCCAUGCCGCGUGAGUGAUGAAGGCCUUAGGGUUGUAAAGCUCUUUCAGCUGGGAAGAUAAUGACGGUACCAGCAGAAGAAGCCCCGGCUAACUCCGUG
This 433-nucleotide ribosomal RNA is filed under the name uncultured bacterium. RNAcentral's name for it is "partial 16S ribosomal RNA". It matches the Rfam family "Bacterial small subunit ribosomal RNA", at positions 29 to 507 of the family's 1533-position model. The record is from RNAcentral.